UACGGGGGGGAGCAAGCGUUGUUCGGAUUUACUGGGCGUAAAGGGCGGGUAGGCGGCCACCGCAAGUCAGUUGUGAAAUCUCCGGGCUUAACCCGGAAAGGUCAACUGAUACUGCGGGGCUAGAGUGCAGAAGGGGCAACUGGAAUUCUCGGUGUAGCGGUGAAAUGCGUAGAUAUCGAGAGGAACACCUGCGGCGAAGGCGGGUUGCUGGGCUGACACUGACGCUGAACUGCGAAAGCUAGGGGAGCGAACGGG
RNAcentral lists this ribosomal RNA (255 nucleotides) under uncultured bacterium. Its description in RNAcentral is "partial 16S ribosomal RNA". It matches the Rfam family "Bacterial small subunit ribosomal RNA", at positions 524 to 776 of the family's 1533-position model. The record is from RNAcentral.